Molecule: non-coding RNA, 32 nt
Filed under: Geobacter sulfurreducens KN400
Lineage: Bacteria; Pseudomonadati; Thermodesulfobacteriota; Desulfuromonadia; Geobacterales; Geobacteraceae
Source: RNAcentral
GAAUCUUCGACUGGUUCAGGGAGUGGUAAUGA